UUACAUUAAUUGAACAUGACACUAAGGGAGCAUCUGUGGUGCACUGAGACUCACCCCUUGCAGCAUUUUGAUUCACAUAAAUGUCAUAAUUGACCUUGUGAUGCCCCAGGGGGGUACCAUUUACCCCUGACCAUCUUGGGAAGUUGUUAGAUGGUGAUGAUCCUAGUACAGCUACUCAGUUCAUUGAGACUCUGGAAAGAAGUCUGACAUAGAAAUACAAGGCUAUAAUCGGGCCAUCAGAGAUAUUAAUGCACUGUCAAUCUACAAGAAGGGUAUAUGAUAUGCAAUUGUUUCACAAACACUGUAACAAAUGAUUUUGAAGAGGACGUCUUAGGAUACUCUGAGUUUCUCCAACUUGGACAUUUCACAGGGGAAACGAGCUUUUUAAGACCCACUCAGCACUGGUAUUUAAUAAUGUGGAGAAAAAAACAAAACACGUAAGCAAGCAAGCAAAGAAAUAAACAUAAAUGUCGGCAACUAAUUUCUAAAGCAGUGGGACCAGGGAAAUAACUCCAGAAGAGACAACAAUGCAGUAAGGGACUGUGACACUGCACUGAAGGACGGGAACAGGGGACACUGAGGGCUUGUUGCCAGGUGGCAGCUGUCAAGGUGGGUCAGAGAGAUACAACAUGAAAAACACUCAACUUGCAAUUGCUGAUUGUGAAGAUGGAAGAAGGGGGCCACGAGCCACGGAAUGCAGCAGCCUCUAGAUGGGGAUGGUCCUAGGCUGACAGGAACAAGAUAACAGGGACUUUGGUUUGCAUAGAAUUGAAUUCAGCCAUCAAUUCAAAUAAACUGGAACUGGAUUCUACCCUAGAACUUCCAGAAAGAAACACAGCCUGCUGAUACCUUGAUUUUAAUCUGGUGAGAUGCAUAGUGGACUUCUGAUCUACAAAACUGUAAGAUGAUGUGUUUUUUUAAGCCA
Molecule: non-coding RNA, 925 nt
Organism: Macaca mulatta (Rhesus monkey)
Lineage: Eukaryota; Metazoa; Chordata; Mammalia; Primates; Cercopithecidae
Source: RefSeq, a predicted model, not a curated record